UAUUAAGAUAAAAUUUCAGGCUACAGAAUAGCCUAAAAAAUAAAGGGCUCAGGAAAAGCCAAAGGGCACACUGAAGGGCUAUGAGAAGCCCCAACUGUGCUGCAGGAAACAGCAAUGGAAAUAUCUUUCCCUCCUUUAGUGGUAAAGAUUUCCAUGUGUGCUGAUGCUAUGGGAGCAGCGCUACUACAGACCAUCAGUGAGGGGAAGAGGAACCAGUAACAUCAUGGAUGCAUCCCCUUUGGGGCCAGAGCAAAAAAUAUCCUGCUGCGAAAGGUAGUUUAGGGCUGUUCUGAGCUUUAGCUGCCUUUGAAGUUUUCCUCUUUGAUAGUGCAGUUGCAGUCUGAUCUUCUCACACCCCUCUAAUGUAGGUAAUUCCAAGGAAAUAAUAGGUAGCAGAGUCCCAUCUACCUUAAGUGGCACAGUGGUCACUGAGAUUAACGAGCAGGAGGUUACUGCACAGGUGUCACAAGAAGUGGCUCUUCUUGCACAUGCCUAAAUGGCACAUUUUUGUGCCAAAAAUGUGGACACAAAGUUCCUGCAAGAACUUACAGCAACUACUUAGUCUAACUUCCCUGUCACAGCAAGCCCAAAUGUCAUCAUUGGCUGCAAAUGGGGGUGGGGGACCAUGUUUGUGGUGUGCAUGUUCUUGUUUACCUUGGUGUGUGUGUUAGAUUGGCUUUUAUAAUUGUAACUAACUUCAGGUUUCUUAUACUUUUCUGCAGAGUUUUGGUUUUUUGCUUUGCUUUAUGCUUCUGUAGGGCAAUGGAUUUUACUAUGCCUCUACGUGUAAGUGCUAGCUGACAAGGUUAUAACAUCACAACGGAGACUCUGAGCCAAGACUGAUAAUUCGAGAUAUGCAGCCUGCCAGAAGGACAUCACUUGGGAGGGGCUGCUGUCCUUAAGCUGUAGGUGCUGGCAUUCAGGACAUCAGGGAAUGACUGUACGCUGCCAUGAAGAACUACAGGCUACCACCCUCAGACCUUUGCAAGUUAUCAUGGGGCAAGAACAUGAACACCUCAGGAAAGGUUUUCUGCCUGGUGCCAAUUAGGAGCCAUGAGCCACAGGAGGGUUGGCGGCAUCCUUACCGGAUGCGUGAGUAAUAACCCGUGAUUCGUUGACCAGCAAAGGAGAGGAGGAGCAGUGACCACUAGCCCAGUCAGUACUGCCUUGCCAUUGCUAGCAGGGCUCCAAGGUCUGUGUGAGGCCUCACUUGCCUGUUUGGAGCUUUAUUUUGAUCUGUUUGCCUGCAAUAACCUGUAAUGCCUACGAUAAGGAUGUUCAUGGCUAGAUGGCUAACCUGUCACGUAACAUGUCUUUGCCUUGCUUCGCUUGAUCUAACUGCUUAAUGUAAUAACACCAGAAUAAAAACUGUUACAGUGUAUAAAGGAACCCUAGGAUGAGCAUCCAUCCAAGUUGGGGAACCACAGUUAAAGCUUUGGAAAAAUGCUCUAAAAUGAGAAUCACUCAAUGGUCUUGGUAGGUUGAUUCAUUUGUAGGAUAGUCCUCCGAGGGCCAGCAACUUGAGGAGCUGCAACUUGAAGAGAAGCAGCUGAACUGAUUUUAUUGUUUCUGUGAUGCUGUUUUGAGGAAGCGUGUAGAUACAGGAUAGGCCUGGGAGGGAUGACAAACAAGAAAGGAAACAGCAAGGAGGGUUUGAGAGUGUGGUUAAAAACUGAAGUGCCAUGAGAACUGAAGUUGUUAAGUGCUGAGAGAACUUGAGGUUAAGCAUGUGCAUAUGAAGGUCUGAGAGGGGCUAAUGCUCAAGGGAUAGUAAAAUAUCAUGAUUGAACCCAAGAUUCCUCCCCAGUCUGGGCUGACGCGUGUACCCUUGCUCUUGCAGACACAGACAGUCUGGAACUGUAGGGGUACAGGCAAGCAGGCUGACAAGCGGGCUUUAGGCACGCUGAUGUGGGGAGAGUCCUGUGUGCUUGGCAGAUGAGUGUGGCAAGAGCUGUUCUGGUUCUGGUCUGGGGCAAACACGUACAGAGGGGAAAAGGAGGAGGGUCUGAAAGAAUACAGGGAGCAAGCUCUUUGUCCCCCACAAGGUCCCUGAGGCCGCCUCCUCCCUGGAGGGUCCUCCACAGGGACACCCACACGCAGUACCCAAGGCACUGAUGCCCCACUGGAAUAGGAGCCCUAGUCUGACCUUUGCCUGUAACCGCCUCCCUGCCCCUUGCACUGAGGGUCCUGUGCACACUCCUGAAACCAGCCUCCAACAGCCCCCAUAACCCUUCAGCAACACUACCAAGAAUCCUAAAGCCCCCAGACCUCAAAACCACCCCCAAACCCUGCCCAACAGCACCAGCAACCCUCUCCAUCCCUGUCCCCAGGCCCCCUGUGACCCCACAAAUCUAUCUGCUUCUGUGGGUCAGCCCUAGCUUCCCAGUGCCUGCAAUAUUCUUUGGAAUUCUUUUGCUGUUUUGCCUCCAAGUGGAAAGGUGGAAACAGCUGGACUUUACAAAAUUAUUCUUGUGGUUUUUGAAUGAAUACUGAUUUAGCAUCCUUGCCAAGGGGGAAGAGAGGGGAAUCCCCUGGUAGUGUUUCAGCCUAUUGGAUGUGUUGCUGUGCAUCAUUCAGGUUUGUGAACUGAAUGUGAGGUAGUUACGCAUUCUGUCCGUCUCAGAGGCUGCUAUUUCCAGUUGUCAUUUGUGCUCUUUGAAAAAAACUUUUCACCUUUUUAUGCGGACAUUUGUCUUAACUGUCUUACUGUGAUAACUGUGAGUAUAAAACAAAAAAUGUGAUGUCACUGUGCAUAA
Molecule: non-coding RNA, 2756 nt
Organism: Struthio camelus australis
Lineage: Eukaryota; Metazoa; Chordata; Aves; Struthioniformes; Struthionidae
Source: RefSeq, a predicted model, not a curated record